AGAUGGUUUGUUGCCUACGUCUCUUCUAGUGAAGUGAAGGUUUGAGUCAGUUAUUCAGUUACUUGAAGCAAAAUGACAUCUUUGAUUUCAUUGAAAGAACUACAGAGGCAGGAGAUAGUGGACAGUUGCCCUAAGCCCUCACUUGACUGAUCAGGAAAGACUGAGGCUCUGGCUGUGUACAGAAUAGUGUUUCAUCAGUACCUCACAUGCCUUAGGUGGACUCAAGAUUGCUUUAAAGUUUGUGUUGAACAACAGUACAUUUUGCACUAGUAAUAUGAGCACUAACUCUGUAUUAUACAGCAGUUAGGGAAUUGUUUUGAAGAAUUGGUUCAGUGUAGACAUUUCGAAAAGAUGAAGUUCUCUGUGCUUUAUGAUAGCUUAGUGCAAUAUGCCCGUUUGCUUUACUUCCCAUUUUCCUGCUUUUAUUUUUCCUGUGAUAUGAAGCAACAGAAACUGAAAGAUCAAAAUUGAGAUUAUAUCCUAUUGAUAGAUUCAGAGUUUUAUCUGUGUAUAAUUAUAGGAUUGUAAUCUAAACUGGAAGUUGUCAGUAGUAAGCCACUAUAAAAUGUUCUAGAUAAGACAUAAAAUUACUAUAAAUAAAAGCAUAGCAUUUGUAAAGGUUUCUUUUUUAGUAUUUCUUUUCCACAAGAAGAAAUAGUGGUGGCUGCUAAAAAAGCUACAGUGUUUAUUAAGGUUGUUUUUGGUGUAAAUAUUUGUAAAUUGGUCAGUGCCUGAAUGCUAAGACUUGCUUUUUGACUUGUAAAAGGUGCAUAUUUUCAUUUUUUUCUUUAAGUUUAAAAUUUUGUAUGAUCAAAUGGAAUAAAGUUUAUAUAUG
RNAcentral lists this long non-coding RNA (835 nucleotides) under Bos taurus (domestic cattle). Its description in RNAcentral is "long non-coding RNA NONBTAT001792". The record is from RNAcentral. Lineage: Eukaryota; Metazoa; Chordata; Mammalia; Artiodactyla; Bovidae.